CAUACAAACCAAAUCAAGUUAGAUGUCCGAUCUCAUCAGAUCUCAGAAGCUAAGCAGGGUUGGUCCAAGUUUAUAUUUGGAUGAGAGAAUUCUCGGGUAUAGCCCAGGUAGUAUAGGC
This 118-nucleotide ribosomal RNA is filed under the name Petromyzon marinus (sea lamprey). The record is from RNAcentral. Lineage: Eukaryota; Metazoa; Chordata; Hyperoartia; Petromyzontiformes; Petromyzontidae.